Molecule: ribosomal RNA, 222 nt
Filed under: uncultured bacterium
Lineage: Bacteria
Description: partial 16S ribosomal RNA
Rfam family: Bacterial small subunit ribosomal RNA
Source: RNAcentral
CAGGUGGUUUUGUUAAGUCAGAUGUGAAAGCCCGGGGCUCAACCUCGGAAUUGCAUUGAAACUGGCAAACUAGAGUACUGUAGAGGGGGUAGAAUUUCAGGUGUAGCGGUGAAAUGCGUAGAGAUCUGAAGGAAUACCGGUGGCGAAGGCGGCCCCCUGGACAGAUACUGACACUCAGACUGCGAAAGCGUGGGGAGCAAACAGGAUUAGAUACCCUGGUAG